This 467-nucleotide ribosomal RNA is filed under the name uncultured bacterium. Its description in RNAcentral is "partial 16S ribosomal RNA". It matches the Rfam family "Bacterial small subunit ribosomal RNA", at positions 29 to 507 of the family's 1533-position model. The record is from RNAcentral.
ACGCACGCUGGCGGCGUGCUUAACACAUGCAAGUCGAACGGAAAGGCCCUGCUUUUGUGGGGUGCUCGAGUGGCGAACGGGUGAGUAACACGUGAGUAACCUGCCCUUGACUUUGGGAUAACUUCAGGAAACUGGGGCUAAUACCGGAUAGGAGCUCCUGCUGCAUGGUGGGGGUUGGAAAGUUUCGGCGGUUGGGGAUGGACUCGCGGCUUAUCAGCUUGUUGGUGGGGUAGUGGCUUACCAAGGCUUUGACGGGUAGCCGGCCUGAGAGGGUGACCGGCCACAUUGGGACUGAGAUACGGCCCAGACUCCUACGGGAGGCAGCAGUGGGGAAUAUUGCACAAUGGGCGGAAGCCUGAUGCAGCAACGCCGCGUGCGGGAUGACGGCCUUCGGGUUGUAAACCGCUUUCGCCUGUGACGGAGCGUGAGUGACGGUAAUGGGUAAAGAAGCACCGGCUAACUACGUG